This is a long non-coding RNA of Sarcophilus harrisii (Tasmanian devil), 458 nucleotides long. RefSeq lists it as uncharacterized. NCBI's taxonomy places the organism in Eukaryota, Metazoa, Chordata, Mammalia, Dasyuromorphia, Dasyuridae. The transcript has 3 exons. The record is from RefSeq and is a predicted model, not a curated record.
CUCCCAUAUCUGGAAUGCUCUCCCUCUUAACUUUUACCUCUUAAGAGUCCCUUGUUUCCUUCAUGAUUCAUUUGGGAUCACCUCCUGCAUGAAACCUUUCCUGGGAUUAUUAAUUGACUAUAACUUUGAAAAACUGAUGGAAAAUAGGGGAAGUAUCACAGGAAAAAUAAGGGAAAAUAGGGGAAGUAUCACAGGAACUAUCAUAGAGGGAAAACUGCAGCUUUAGUUUCAGCUCAUUCUUAAUGACCUCAUGCUGAAUGAAUUGCCGAACCUGGAGCACUUUGGGGCACUUUCGUAUAGGAGCAGAAAUAUAUAUAUGGAAAAGAGAGCAUGAAAAGAACGUUGGAAGGCAAAGGAUCACUGGGAAGCUUCACUCAUACAAUUGGAAUUAUUUCUACCCCUUCACCUUGGCUCACCUGAUAUGUCCCUUGUGGCUUUGCAAUAAUUGAUGUCCCAUC